GUUUUAACAAUGUUUUUAGUAGGUAGUUUUAUUUUUGUUCCCAGAAUGUUCUCUCAAAAAAUAGGAUAAUGUUCUCUCUCUAAAAGCUUCCAGGAAAUUAUGGGAUCUGAUGAAAAUCUGCCAUUCAGAUUAAAACAAAACAGUGACACCUACUGACAAAAUAAAAUUAUGAAUAUCAGAAUCAGAAUCAGAAAGAGCUUUAUUGCCAGGUAUGCUUACGCAUACAAGGAAUUUGUUUUAGUGACAUAAGCUUCCAGUACACAGAGACAACAACACACACACAAAAAAAAAGAGAUUUACAAAUUGGCAAAUAAAUAAGUGUAUAAACAAUUGUGCUAUAAAUUAUAAUGGAAUAUGAUUGAGUGAGAUGCAGGAAUGUUCUAGGAUGUCAGUCAACAUACUACUUCUGCAUUGAAGCAAAAGAUAUGUAGUUUUUUUUUAUUUUUUAUUUUUUUUACAAUGUGUGUUUCUAUUAGGAAAUCAGUGCAGAUGGCUUGUUCAUUUCCAAAAAGGAGAUGAGCUGGUCUUACAGCAGAUAGUACUGCAGGGAUCGUGGACCUGGUCAUUAUCAACACUGAAGAUAAGCAGGUGCGUGAGUGAAGAAGGAGGGUUUCUCAGUUGCUGGGAAGCGUGUUGACUGCUGCAGACUUGGACGACGUCUUUCCGAGCUGUUCCCGCAUGGGGAUCUUUUUGAGCCACACACAAUUCGGUAUGCAUCCUGGGCUGUGUAUAUCCGUUUGUGGUAUGACGUUGGAAUGGCUGAUUUACUAAUAUUCAGGUGGGUAAACUAUUGAUUUAAUGGAGGAAUAUUUGCGAUAAGACUUGUUGGCUACAGUUGAAGGGGUCAAGAGCUGGUAAUAUGUCCACAUGAUUACAGCGAGCUGAGUGGGACCGCGACUGGGCUUCCCCCUUCCUGUUUGGUCUUUUAUCUUCGUGUUUCGAGUACCUUCGCACUGUUGCGCGUGGCCGUGAUGCUCCGCCUUUGCCUCAUUCGCGCCUGCAUGACCAGUCUGCAUCCAGUGAACUUGACGUCUGGACAUUGUGAGACCCGAGUUUAGUCCGCGUGGCCGUUUGGUCACCUUCACACUGUUUCAACUGGGAGAUUGUGUUUGUGGGGUUGUAUGGUAUAAGUGGAUUGUUGUGUGAAUGAAUUCAUAACUUGUUGAAAGUUGUGUGAGUGCGUUCGUUUUAUGUUGGAGGUGUGUGUGAGUCAGAAAAAAGUAUGAAUGGUUUGUGAGUCUGCGUGAUUCUAUGGAGUGAUGUGUGUGUAAUGUUUAUGGGUAGGUGAUUGAAUUGGGGGUUUUUCUUUUGUAUUUCUUUGGUCAACUUUGUAUUUUUUUUGUGUGUAUUGAUUUUGUGAUAUUUGAUUGUACUUCCUUUUUCUUUCUUUUUGUGUUUUAUUGAUUUGUGACAGUUUGAUGUUAAUUUGUAUAUUUUUUUGUUGGAUUGGCUAGGAAGGAGUGCUGACCACUCUAGGUCCAAGUUAAUGGGUACCCUUGUUCACUGAGUAAUUUAAUUCUUCUCAAUUUUCCUUCACCUGAAUGCACGUGUGCUUGUGGUGCAGUGAGUACAUCAGUGUACUUUUGAAGUGUGAAAUGAAGUGGAGUUGGGUAGGUUUGUUAUUUCUCCUUGCCAUCUGACAAGUAACUUUUUUUCUUUGGAUUGUAUGAUUGUUUAUUUUUCUUACUUUAGUUUUGAUUUGAGCCAUAUUAACCCCUUGUAUACUGAAGUGUGUGUGUGGAGUUUUAGUUAGCCAUAAUAAAGUGUUAUUUUUUUUAUAUUCACGUCUCUGCUCUAUCUUUGUGGGAACGAACCUGUGUCCUUACUAGACCAUUAUUUCCCUGGGUGAAAUUCCCAGGGUGGCGUAGUCGGU
Molecule: long non-coding RNA, 1873 nt
Organism: Carassius auratus (goldfish)
Lineage: Eukaryota; Metazoa; Chordata; Actinopteri; Cypriniformes; Cyprinidae
Source: Ensembl